UUCGCAUGGCCAUUUCAGGACAGCCCACACCUGAAGGUCCACGAGCAGCUGCUUUUCUUCCCUGACUUGGAAACUCCAGAGCUGGGCUGCCUUUCUGAGGUCGACAGUCUAACAACCCGCUGCUUGCCCUUGAUUCUCCUUUCUGUGCCUUCUCCAAGAGCCCUGCCGUGUUUUUCCAUGGACUUGGCGGCUGAGAGCUCAGAUGACCCCAGGCCUGUAUCAGUUCCAAUGGCAACUUUCCCAGUGUGGUGGUAAAGGUUCCUCUCCACCUCAAGGGUUCCCAGUAGCACAGGCUGGUUCUGAAGUGCCUAAGUAGCUGGGACAGACCUAUGUGGAGAGCUCUUGGGGCCACUCAUAGAAAUUUGGCAAGUAUUUGUCACUGGGUUCAAGGAAGUAGGCUCAGAUAAGAAUUCACAUUUGGGCUGAUGCAAAGCUCAAGGUGAUUGAUGGUGGUUAAAGGAGGCAGAACGUGGCUGCCCUGGAGGAAGGUCUACUGCGGGAAGGAGCCACAGACACCUUGGAGGCCUCAAGAGCUGUGCUAGUGUAAGCUCGACACUCGGCGGUCGCCACGUCCCCAGCCCCGCCCACGCGAGCUCGCAGGGAACCCCGGUGACGUCACCACCCGCAGCGCCCUCCUUCCCGCGCUCUCCAGAAAGGACGCGAAGGUGGUGACGUGUCCGGAGCGCCAGCGCGGCUGUGCACAAAGCGCGUGACCAACCUGCGGCGCCGCCUGGCGGAAGAACAGUGGCGGUGUGGCUGGAAGCGACGUGCGGCGGCAGCGUGGUGACGUCACCUCGCGGGGCCACGUGACCGCGUGCUGUUCCGGCUUCUCCCCUCUACCGGUGUGGGCAGAAACGUGGCUUCUUUACUUGCUCUACUUGGUCUCCUGAAACUGCCUGGCUGCUUGGUCGCGCUGCGGGUCAUGGGAAGUUUGAGGAUCAUACUCAUUCUCUGCCCUUGUCAUUAACCGAAAUUGUGUCUCAGGAUGGGCCAGAAAGCACCAUCUUCAGCCACAUCAGCAGAUCGCAUGUGAUGCUCUGUGUCAUUAUGCAGACGUGGAGUUUACGAACUAGUCCAGAGUAUCCCGAGUAUCCCGAGUCAUUCAGGAGCGCAGUCCAGGCCUCAGCCAUAGCUGCUGGACCCACACCAAGCCGUAGAAGGGAAGGCAGGAAGGAAGUCACAAAUCCUUUUGGGAACCAACCUUGUUAUUUGAAAGGCAGUUUUUCACAUAGCACUUCGUACAGUGUCAGGGUGCUUCCUAGAAAUGCAGGUCUUGGACCUUGCCUUAAAGCUUACAAUUCAGAUAGACACUUUUGUUGACACGGGGUCUCACCUUGGCUGACCUGGUUCUAUGUAGACAAGGUUGCCCUUGAAGGUGUGCACCAUAGUGACCAGCUAGAAUAUACAUUUCAACAAGAUCCCAGAGUGAGUCCUAUAAGUACUGGUUUGACAGAUUACUGUGCAUCAAGCCCUACCGUGAAAAUGGUAAUAUCAAAGUCACAGGCCUGCCCCAAGUUAAGCCCCAACUGAAUGGACAGUUGGCUAGAACUGUCCCAAGGGCUUGUAUGGCCUGGCCACACCCCAUUUCCACAAGGUGCUUGUCCAGCCUUUACUGUAAACACAAGGCACCCCCCCCCCCCUCCAAGCAGGUUGGAGCUGGGUGUUUCGUCAUUUACAAUUAAAACAGAGUUAUCAGUUAUAAGACAUUCCUAUCAAGGGGCUGGAGAGAUAGAUGGUACAGCAGUUAGGAGUAUUGGCUGCUCUUCCAGGGGACCUAGGUUCCCAGCACCUACAUGAUGGUUCACAAUCCUCCCUAACUUCAGUUGCAGGCGCUCCAACAACCUUUCCUGAUUUCCCAAGGCACCAGGCACCCAUGUGUUCAUAUAUACAUGUUGGCAAAGCAUGAGAGAGAGAGAAAAAAAACCCCUGCAUAUCAAACCAAUGUAUUUCAAGUUGAAAGAAUAUAUACGUAGAAGUAAACUAAACAUAAUUUUAGUACUGUGUAGAACUCAAUCUGUAGCCCCAGUGAGACUUCAGGAAGAGUAAUUCCUAGAACCCAGGGAAAAAUGAAGACUCAGUGGGAAAACUGACUGGCAUGAUAGUGUAAAGGGAAGUCAUGGCAGGUGUGUAGAAAAUGCUUCCUCCUCUCCUAGAAGGCAAAUCUUCACUUCCUCCACCAUCUUAGUUCUAGGAUGAGUGAACCUAGAACUUUUGAAUUUUAUCAGCUGCUUUUAAAAAACAAAAAAAAAAAACAGGUUCUCACUUUGUAGUUCUUGCUGUCCUAGAACUCACUGUAUAGAUCAGGCUGGCCUCAAACUCAGAGAUCUGUCUGCCUCUGCCUCCCGAGUGCUCAGCUGCUCUUAAUUUUGAAUAAUAAUAAUGAUAAAAUAAUAACAAUAAAUUUAAAAAUGCCUUUAAUCCCAGAACUUGGGAGGUAGAGGCAGAUGAAUUUCUUGAGUUCUAGGCCAGCCUGGUCUACUGAGUUCCAGGACAGCCAGGGCUACACAGAGAAACCUUGUUGUGUGGGGUGGGUGGGUGGAGGUGGUGGUGAAUAUGUGUUGCUGAUCCCCUGGCACUGCCUACUUUCCUGUUGACAAGAUAAAUUCUCCCACAGGUUCUAAUUGUAAAAUCAUGACAUCAAUGGCACCAUUUGGAAAAACUAGUGACACUGUACUUUAUUUUGUUAUCAGAAUAAAGAGUGAUUGGAGCUCUUGGGCAGAGAGAGAGGACCCUGCUCGGCCCAGGGCAUCGUUAACUUUCC
RNAcentral lists this long non-coding RNA (2761 nucleotides) under Mus musculus (house mouse). Its description in RNAcentral is "RIKEN cDNA A430078I02 gene (A430078I02Rik)". Lineage: Eukaryota; Metazoa; Chordata; Mammalia; Rodentia; Muridae. The record is from RNAcentral.